GACGAACGCUGGCGGCGUGCUUAACACAUGCAAGUCGAACGAUGAAGCCUAGCUUGCUAGGUGGAUUAGUGGCGAACGGGUGAGUAAUACGUGAGUGACCUACCUUUGACUCUGGGAUAAGCCUGGGAAACUGGGUCUAAUACCGGAUACGACCAAUCUCUGCAUGGGGUGUUGGUGGAAAGCGUUAUGGAGUGGUUUUAGAUGGGCUCACGGCCUAUCAGCUUGUUGGUGAGGUAAUGGCUUACCAAGGCGACGACGGGUAGCCGGCCUGAGAGGGUGACCGGCCACACUGGGACUGAGACACGGCCCAGACCCCUACGGGAGGCAGCAGUGGGGAAUAUUGCACAAUGGGCGCAAGCCUGAUGCAGCGACGCCGCGUGAGGGAUGACGGCCUUCGGGUUGUAAACCUCUGUUAGCAUCGAAGAAGCGAAAGUGACG
Molecule: ribosomal RNA, 438 nt
Filed under: Rothia dentocariosa
Lineage: Bacteria; Bacillati; Actinomycetota; Actinomycetes; Micrococcales; Micrococcaceae
Description: bacterial SSU rRNA
Rfam family: Bacterial small subunit ribosomal RNA
Source: RNAcentral